RNAcentral lists this long non-coding RNA (247 nucleotides) under Cyanistes caeruleus (blue tit). RNAcentral describes it as "lncRNA (ENSCCEG00000010118.1)". The record is from RNAcentral. Lineage: Eukaryota; Metazoa; Chordata; Aves; Passeriformes; Paridae.
UUUCCUGUAUCCAAUAGCAGGAACAUUUUCUGCAUUACCCCAAACUUUGUCAUGAUGAAACAUCUUCUGUGAGAUCAGACCUGACUCCUGAUUGCUAUCACCAGCUGUUGUUACCAAGAAACCUGGAGACUUUCCAGAUAACCUGAAUGUUUUAGUACCAUAGAUGAUGGAUGAUAUUUUUCUGCGUCUCUUCUGCCGCUGUUAUGCGGUGAAGUUCAGCCACUCUGUACAAAGAUAAACUUCUGAA